GGAAUAUUGGACAAUGGGCGCAAGCCUGAUCCAGCCAUGCCGCGUGCAGGAUGACGGUCCUAUGGAUUGUAAACUGCUUUUAUACGAGAAGAAACACUGCUACGUGUAGCAGCUUGACGGUAUCGUAAGAAUAAGGAUCGGCUAACUCCGUGCCAGCAGCCGCGGUAAUACGGAGGAUCCAAGCGUUAUCCGGAAUCAUUGGGUUUAAAGGGUCCGUAGGCGGUUUAAUAAGUCAGUGGUGAAAGCCCAUCGCUCAACGGUGGAACGGCCAUUGAUACUGUUAGACUUGAAUUAUUAGGAAGUAACUAGAAUAUGUAGUGUAGCGGUGAAAUGCUUAGAGAUUACAUGGAAUACCAAUUGCGAAGGCAGGUUACUACUAAUUGAUUGACGCUGAUGGACGAAAGCGUGGGUAGCGAACAGGAUUAGAUACCCCUG
Molecule: ribosomal RNA, 435 nt
Filed under: uncultured Flavobacterium sp.
Lineage: Bacteria; Pseudomonadati; Bacteroidota; Flavobacteriia; Flavobacteriales; Flavobacteriaceae
Description: bacterial SSU rRNA
Rfam family: Bacterial small subunit ribosomal RNA
Source: RNAcentral